RNAcentral lists this ribosomal RNA (2610 nucleotides) under Triticum aestivum (bread wheat). RNAcentral's name for it is "partial small subunit ribosomal RNA". Lineage: Eukaryota; Viridiplantae; Streptophyta; Magnoliopsida; Poales; Poaceae. The record is from RNAcentral.
AUGGACUCCGCCUCCGCCUCCUACAAACUGCAGCUCGCCUGCGCCGCGCUCGUGGGCGCCUCCGCGGCCGCCGCCUCCGCCUACUACCUGCACUGCCGCGCCGUCGCGCAGCUCAGCGGCGACAUCGUCCGCAACUCCGCCGCCGCCAAAGGCGACCGGGAGCGGCGGCGCCCACGCGAGGCCGCCGGGAGGAACCCCCCUCCCCCGCGCCGCGCCGCCGCCGGCUCCUCCUCGCUCCCCGAUCUCUCCUCCAUCUACGCCGCCGGCGGCGUCGCCAGGGGGUACCCUGUGGAGGAGUACGACGACGGCGAUGGGGAGGGGGUGGGGCCGUACGUGGACGAGGCGCUCCUCGCCGCCGCCGCCUACAUGCAGAUCCCCACGGGCUUGCCGAGGCUGCAAGUGGGGCCCGAGGGCAAUAAACAAAUCGUUCGUUCGGGUUCAAGCAGACGGGUUGGAUUAAUCAGACCAAAUUCACCCAAGUCCCCUUUUGCUAGUGCAAGUACUUUAGAGAGUGCAGAGGGGUCAGAUGAGGAUGCCGCGACGAAAGUCAACGGCAAACUUGAUAAUGGCUAUGCGAGCACAAAUGGAAAUCUUGAGGGAGAACACAAAGGAAAUUCAGUUGUGGAGAAUGGGGCUGGAACACCAUUAGAUGCAAAAAACAUGACUCGGUCUCAUAGUAUAUCCAAUGAUCUUCAUGCGGUUCAACCUGAUCCAGUUGCUGCAGAUAUUCUUCGAAAAGAACCUCAGCAAGAAUCAUUUAUCAAGCUGUUAACUGCACCUCAUGAGAUUCCAUCUCCUGAUGAAAUAGAGGUCUACAAAAUCCUUCAGAAGUGUCUCGAGUUAAGAGAUUGUUACCUUUUUAGAGAAGAGGUCGCUCCAUGGGAGAAGGAGGUCAUAAAUGACCCCUGUACACCAAAACCUAAUCCUAAUCCAUUCACUUUUGUGCCUGAACCAAAAUCAGAGCAUGUUUUCCAAAUGGUCGAUGGUGUUGUCCAAGUCUAUGCGGAUAAAGACCGUUCGGAAAGGAUUUAUCCUGUUGCUGAUGCUACAACCUUUUUCACCGACUUACAUUAUGUUCUCCGGAUGACUGCCGCGGGGAACACAAGAACUGUCUGCCAUAACCGAUUGAAUCUUCUAGAACAUGUUUUUAUUCCCUUGCAGAAGUUCAAAUUUCAUCUGAUGUUAAACGCGGACAGGGAGUUUCUUGCCCAAAAAACUGCACCACAUCGUGAUUUUUACAAUGUUAGGAAGGUCGACACUCAUGUUCACCACUCAGCAUGCAUGAAUCAGAAACAUUUGCUGAGAUUCAUCAAGUCCAAACUGAGAAAAGAACCUGAUGAGGUUGUCAUUUUCAGAGAUGGUACAUAUAUGACUUUGAAGGAGGUUUUUGAAAGCUUGGACUUAACUGGGUAUGACUUGAAUGUUGAUUUGCUAGAUGUCCAUGCGGACAAAAGUACGUUUCAUCGUUUUGACAAAUUCAACCUUAAAUACAAUCCAUGUGGCCAAAGUAGGCUACGGGAGAUUUUCCUUAAACAGGACAAUCUUAUUCAAGGACGAUUUCUUGCUGAGCUGACGAUGCAAGUUUUUUCUGACCUUAAUGCAAGCAAGUAUCAGAUGGCUGAAUAUAGGAUUUCAAUCUAUGGGAGGAAGCAAAGUGAGUGGGACCAACUUGCGAGUUGGAUAGUAAACAAUGAAUUGUACAGUGAAAAUGUUGUUUGGUUGAUUCAGAUUCCACGCUUAUAUAACGUGUACCAGCAAAUGGGCAUUGUUACAUCAUUUCAAAAUCUUCUUGACAACAUUUUCCUUCCUCUGUUUGAGGUUACUAUUGAUCCAGCUUCGCACCCGCAGCUUCAUGUCUUCCUAAAGCAGGUCGUAGGGUUAGAUUUGGUUGAUGAUGAAAGUAAACCUGAAAGGCGUCCAACUAAGCACAUGCCUACACCUGAAGAAUGGACGAAUGUCUUCAACCCGGCAUUUUCAUAUUAUGCAUACUACUGCUAUGCUAACUUGUACACACUGAACAAGCUGCGUGAGUCAAAGGGGAUGAAUACUAUCAAAUUCCGUCCACAUGCCGGUGAGGCUGGAGACGUUGAUCACUUGGCAGCAACAUUUCUUCUUUGUCACAGUAUAUCACAUGGAAUCAAUUUAAGGAAGUCUCCUGUGCUUCAAUAUCUGUACUACCUUGGUCAGAUUGGUCUGGCAAUGUCCCCUCUCAGCAACAACUCCUUGUUUCUUGAUUACCAUCGGAACCCUUUUCCUAUGUUUUUCCAACGAGGACUGAAUGUCUCGCUGUCCACGGAUGAUCCAUUGCAAAUUCAUCUGACAAAAGAGCCAUUGGUGGAAGAAUACAGCAUUGCUGCCUCGCUAUGGAAGCUCAGUUCUUGUGAUCUAUGUGAAAUUGCGAGAAAUUCUGUGUAUCAAUCAGGGUUUUCACAUGCUCUCAAGGCACAUUGGAUUGGCAAGAACUACUACAAGAGAGGCCCUUCAGGGAAUGAUAUCCACAGAACGAAUGUGCCCACCAUCAGGAUUGAAUUCAGGGACCUGAUCUGGAGAGACGAAAUGCAGCUCGUCUACCUCAACAACGUCAUCUUGCCUGACGAGGUGGACCAGUAA